This 373-nucleotide ribosomal RNA is filed under the name uncultured Bacteroidota bacterium. Its description in RNAcentral is "bacterial SSU rRNA". It matches the Rfam family "Bacterial small subunit ribosomal RNA", at positions 521 to 896 of the family's 1533-position model. Lineage: Bacteria; Pseudomonadati; Bacteroidota. The record is from RNAcentral.
UAAUACGGAGGAUCCAAGCGUUAUCCGGAAUCAUUGGGUUUAAAGGGUCCGUAGGUGGAUAAUUAAGUCAGAGGUGAAAUCUUGCAGCUCAACUGCAAAAUUGCCUUUGAUACUGGUUAUCUUGAGUCAUUAUGAAGUAGUUAGAAUAUGUAGUGUAGCGGUGAAAUGCAUAGAUAUUACAUAGAAUACCAAUUGCGAAGGCAGAUUACUAAUAAUGUACUGACACUGAUGGACGAAAGCGUGGGUAGCGAACAGGAUUAGAUACCCUGGUAGUCCACGCCGUAAACGAUGGUUACUAGCUGUGUGGACUUCGGUCUGCGUGGCUAAGCGAAAGUGAUAAGUAACCCACCUGGGGAGUACGUUCGCAAGAAUG